AGACAUUGGUCUCAGGCAGUGGUGGGUUGCCCCCGGUUUGGACCGGUUCGCAGGAACCGGUAAUAAAAUUGGUGGAAGGCUCCGCCCACUGAUCCUGACAUCAUCAGGAAGCGUGAGUGGCCCCGUUGCGAAUCGGUAGUAAAGUGCACAAAAAUCAUCAAUGGGAGUUUCUGAAGAGCGCAAGCAGCCUUGUGCAAGAACGUUUGGCCUUUUGCACUUCCUGGGAACGAAGGUGCAGAUCAGCAGGGAAAGAACCAUCCCUCAAUUACUUGAUCAAAAGGAAGUGAAUAAGAAAAGGAGAAGGAAGAAUAACGAGAGAUAAAUAAAAAGGAACAAAUAUCA
Long non-coding RNA from Pantherophis guttatus, 342 nucleotides. RefSeq lists it as uncharacterized. The record is from RefSeq and is a predicted model, not a curated record. NCBI's taxonomy places the organism in Eukaryota, Metazoa, Chordata, Lepidosauria, Squamata, Colubridae.